UUCUGAAUUCAGUCCGUGCAGAGUUGUGCUU
RNAcentral lists this non-coding RNA (31 nucleotides) under Mus musculus (house mouse). Lineage: Eukaryota; Metazoa; Chordata; Mammalia; Rodentia; Muridae. The record is from RNAcentral.